AACCUAGUAGCUGGUUCCUUCCG
This 23-nucleotide unclassified non-coding RNA is filed under the name Dictyostelium discoideum. Lineage: Eukaryota; Evosea; Eumycetozoa; Dictyosteliales; Dictyosteliaceae. The record is from RNAcentral.